Molecule: ribosomal RNA, 377 nt
Filed under: uncultured bacterium
Lineage: Bacteria
Description: bacterial SSU rRNA
Rfam family: Bacterial small subunit ribosomal RNA
Source: RNAcentral
UAAUACGUAGGUGGCAAGCGUUGUCCGGAUUUACUGGGCGUAAAGCGCGCGCAGGCGGUUUGGAAAGUCUGUGGUGAAAUCUCUCAGCUCAACUGAGAGGGGUCUGCAGAUACUCCCAGACUUGAGUGCCGUAGACGAAGAUGGAAUUCCGGGUGUAGUGGUGAAAUGCGUAGAUAUCCGGAGGAACACCAGUGGCGAAGGCGGUCUUCGAGGCGGUAACUGACGCUGAGGCGCGAAAGCGUGGGGAGCGAACCGGAUUAGAUACCCGGGUAGUCCACGCCGUAAACGAUGGGCACUAGGUGUCGCGGGUAUCGACCCCUGCGGUGCCGUAGCUAACGCAUUAAGUGCCCCGCCUGGGGAGUACGGCCGCAAGGCUA